Molecule: ribosomal RNA, 773 nt
Filed under: uncultured Neocallimastigales
Lineage: Eukaryota; Fungi; Neocallimastigomycota; Neocallimastigomycetes; Neocallimastigales
Description: partial large subunit ribosomal RNA
Rfam family: Eukaryotic large subunit ribosomal RNA
Source: RNAcentral
ACACGCAUGACACACUGCAUAUCAAUAAGCGGAGGAAAAGAAACUAACAAGGAUUCCCUUAGUAACGGCGAGUGAAGCGGGAAGAGCUCAAAUUUGAAAUCUUCAAGGUUUUACCUUGACGAAUUGUAGUUUAAAGAAGUGUUUUCUGUUGAAGUUUUGGUAAAAGUUCUUUGGAAUAGGACAUCAUAGAGGGUGAGAAUCCCGUAUUUGACCAUUAUUUUCAGCUGUGUGAUACACUUUCAAAGAGUCGGAUUGUUUGGGAAUGCAGUCCAAAAUGGGUGGUAAAUUUCAUCUAAAGCUAAAUAUUGGCGAGAGACCGAUAGCGAACAAGUACCGUGAGGGAAAGAUGAAAAGAACUUUGAAAAGAGAGUUAAACAGUACGUGAAAUUGUCAAAAGGGAAGCGUUUGACACCAGUGUUGUUUUCUCGAAGAUCAAUUAAAAAAGGCCGGAUUUUGUGUUGUAUUGACCUUAAAAGCUUUCUUCACUCUCUUCUUGUCUUUUUUAAUGCACUUUUCGUUUAACAAGUCAACAUCAGUUUCUUUUGUUGUAAAAGGGUCAUUGGAAGGUGGCUUUCUUUUCGGAGAAAGUGUUUAUAGCCUUUGAUCUCUGCAACCGGAGAGACUGAGGUCUGCAGCGUAGACUCUUCGGGGUUAGAUACAUUUGUGCUAAGCUAUAGCUUUUUAUAGACAACUUGUUGACUAUAUUUAGUCUUGUAGCUUACUCGCUUAUGCUAUUUUACCUACGCUUAGGAUGUUGAGCGCAUGUCUCUCUC